Molecule: ribosomal RNA, 387 nt
Filed under: uncultured bacterium
Lineage: Bacteria
Description: bacterial SSU rRNA
Rfam family: Bacterial small subunit ribosomal RNA
Source: RNAcentral
AUUGAACGCUGGCGGCAUGCCUCACACAUGCAAGUCGAGCGGCAGCGCGGGGGCAACCCUGGCGGCGAGCGGCGAACGGGUGAGUAAUACAUCGGAACGUGUCCAGUAGCGGAGGAUAACCUGUCGAAAGAUAGGCUAAUACCGCAUACGACCUACGGGUGAAAGCGGGGGACCGCAAGGCCUCGCACUAUUGGAGCGGCCGAUGUCGGAUUAGCUAGUUGGCGGGGUAACGGCCCACCAAGGCGACGAUCCGUAGCUGGUCUGAGAGGACGACCAGCCACACUGGAACUGAGACACGGUCCAGACUCCUACGGGAGGCAGCAGUGGGGAAUUUUGGACAAUGGGCGCAAGCCUGAUCCAGCCAUGCCGCGUGAGUGAAGAAGGCCU